CCUAUGGGGGGCAGCAGUGGGGAAUAUUGGACAAUGGGGGGAACCCUGAUCCAGCCAUGCCGCGUGUGUGAAGAAGGCCCUCGGGUUGUAAAGCACUUUCAGUGAGGAAGAACGCCUGGUGGUUAAUACCCAUCAGGAAAGACAUCACUCACAGAAGAAGCACCGGCUAACUCCGUGCCAGCAGCCGCGGUAAUACGGAGGGUGCGAGCGUUAAUCGGAAUUACUGGGCGUAAAGCGCGCGUAGGUGGCUUGAUAAGCCGGUUGUGAAAGCCCCGGGCUCAACCUGGGAACGGCAUCCGGAACUGUCAAGCUAGAGUGCAGGAGAGGAAGGUAGAAUUCCCGGUGUAGCGGUGAAAUGCGUAGAGAUCGGGAGGAAUACCAGUGGCGAAGGCGGCCUUCUGGACUGACACUGACACUGAGGUGCGAAAGCGUGGGUAGCAAACAGGAUUAGAUACCCUUGUAGUC
Molecule: ribosomal RNA, 465 nt
Filed under: Vreelandella stevensii
Lineage: Bacteria; Pseudomonadati; Pseudomonadota; Gammaproteobacteria; Oceanospirillales; Halomonadaceae
Description: partial 16S ribosomal RNA
Rfam family: Bacterial small subunit ribosomal RNA
Source: RNAcentral